Molecule: non-coding RNA, 200 nt
Organism: Microcebus murinus (gray mouse lemur)
Lineage: Eukaryota; Metazoa; Chordata; Mammalia; Primates; Cheirogaleidae
Source: RefSeq, a predicted model, not a curated record
GAUCCUCCCACCUCAGCCUGCCGAGUAGCUGGGACUACAGCAGGCUCUAGGUGGUCAACACGCCCCAUGGAUUUGAUGAACCCUUUCUCUCCCAUGUGGAUGCCGAAUUCCCCAACUGUGGAAAACCUGUAAGGUGGUUAAUUAUAUCAUCUUGAUGCAAUUUCUGAGGCUGGCAUUGGGGGGAUGCCCGUGUGAAAAAC